Molecule: small nuclear RNA, 107 nt
Filed under: Myotis davidii
Lineage: Eukaryota; Metazoa; Chordata; Mammalia; Chiroptera; Vespertilionidae
Source: RNAcentral
GUGCUUGCUUUGGCAACACAUUUACUAAAACUGGAAAGAUACAGAAAAGAUUAUCAUGGCCCCAGGGCAAUGAUGACACACAAGUUUGUGAAGCAUUCAUGUGUUUG